This 607-nucleotide ribosomal RNA is filed under the name uncultured beta proteobacterium. RNAcentral describes it as "bacterial SSU rRNA". It matches the Rfam family "Bacterial small subunit ribosomal RNA", at positions 41 to 643 of the family's 1533-position model. The record is from RNAcentral. Lineage: Bacteria; Pseudomonadati; Pseudomonadota; Betaproteobacteria.
GGCAUGCCUUACACAUGCAAGUCGAACGGCAGCACGGACUUCGGUCUGGUGGCGAGUGGCGAACGGGUGAGUAAUAUAUCGGAACAUACCCAGUAGUGGGGGAUAACUAUCCGAAAGGAUAGCUAAUACCGCAUACGAUCUGUGGAUGAAAGCAGGGGAUCUUCGGACCUUGUGCUAUUGGAAUGGCCGAUAUCUGAUUAGCUAGUUGGUAGGGUAAAAGCCUACCAAGGCGACGAUCAGUAGCUGGUCUGAGAGGACGACCAGCCACACUGGAACUGAGACACGGUCCAGACUCCUACGGGAGGCAGCAGUGGGGAAUUUUGGACAAUGGGGGCAACCCUGAUCCAGCAAUGCCGCGUGAGUGAAGAAGGCCCUCGGGUUGUAAAGCUCUUUUGUCAGGGAAGAAACGGAGUUCUCUAAUAUAGGAUUCUAAUGACGGUACCUGAAGAAUAAGCACCGGCUAACUACGUGCCAGCAGCCGCGGUCAUACGUAGGGUGCAAGCGUUAAUCGGAAUUACUGGGCGUAAAGCGUGCGCAGGCGGUUUUGUAAGUCUGAUGUGAAAUCCCCGGGCUCAACCUGGGAACUGCAUUGGAGACUGCAAGGCUA